AUAGUGGCGCACGGGUGCGUAACGCGUAACCAACCUACCCAGUUCUGGGGGAUAGCCCGCCGAAAGGCGGAUUAAUACCGCAUAAGACCAUAGACUGGCAUCAGUUAGUGGUUAAAGAUUUAUUGGAAUUGGAUGGGGUUGCGUGCCAUUAGCUAGUUGGGGGGGUAACGGCCCACCAAGGCGACGAUGGCUAGGGGAGCUGAGAGGCUGGUCCCCCACACGGGCACUGAGAUACGGGCCCG
Molecule: ribosomal RNA, 242 nt
Filed under: uncultured bacterium
Lineage: Bacteria
Description: partial 16S ribosomal RNA
Rfam family: Bacterial small subunit ribosomal RNA
Source: RNAcentral